Molecule: ribosomal RNA, 513 nt
Filed under: uncultured bacterium
Lineage: Bacteria
Description: partial 16S ribosomal RNA
Rfam family: Bacterial small subunit ribosomal RNA
Source: RNAcentral
GACGAACGCUGGCGGCGUGCUUAACACAUGCAAGUCGAACGAAAAGAGGGAAAGAGCUUGCUCUUUCCGGAAUUGAGUGGCAAACGGGUGAGUAACACGUAAACAACCUGCCUUCAGGAUGGGGACAACAGACGGAAACGACUGCUAAUACCGAAUAAGUUCCAAGAGCCGCAUGGCCCAUGGAAGAAAAGGUGGCCUCUACCUGUAAGCUAUCGCCUGAAGAGGGGUUUGCGUCUGAUUAGCUGGUUGGAGGGGUAACGGCCCACCAAGGCGACGAUCAGUAGCCGGUCUGGGAGGAGGAACGGCCACACUGGAACUGGGACACGGUCCAGACUCCUACGGGAGGCAGCCGUGGGGAAUCUUCCGCAAUGGGCGAAAGCCUGACGGAGCAACGCCGCGUGAGUGAUGACGGCCUUCGGGUUGUAAAACUCUGUGAUCCGGGACGAAAAGGCAGAGUGCGAAGAACAAACUGCAUUGACGGUACCGGAAAAGCAAGCCACGGCUAACUACGUG